AAUGAACGCUGGCGGCGCGCCUAAUACAUGCAAGUCGAGCGAGAAGACGUAGCAAUACGUUUGUAAAGCGGCGAACGGGUGAGGAAUACAUGGGUAACCUACCCUAGAGUGGGGAAUAACUAGCCGAAAGGUUAGCUAAUACCGCGUAUGCUCCUUGGACUUCGGUUCAGGGAGGAAAGCGAUGCCGAGGGUAUCGCGCUCUUGGAUGGGCUCAUGUCCCAUCAGCUGUUGGUGAGGUAACGGCUCACCAAGGCUUCGACGGGUAGCUGGUCUGAGAGGACGAUCAGCCACACUGGCACUGCGACACGGGCCAGACUCCUACGGGAGGCAGCAGUAAGGAAUAUUGCGCAAUGGGCGAAAGCCUGACGCAGCGACGCCGCGUGAAGGAUGAAAUCCUUCGGGAUGUAAACUUCGCAAAUAUGGGAAGAACACAAUGACGGUACCAUAUGUAAGCCCCGGCUAACUCCGUGCCAGCCGCCGCUGU
Molecule: ribosomal RNA, 484 nt
Filed under: uncultured bacterium
Lineage: Bacteria
Description: bacterial SSU rRNA
Rfam family: Bacterial small subunit ribosomal RNA
Source: RNAcentral